Small RNA from Polaribacter atrinae, 109 nucleotides. It matches the Rfam family "6S-Flavo RNA". NCBI's taxonomy places the organism in Bacteria, Pseudomonadati, Bacteroidota, Flavobacteriia, Flavobacteriales, Flavobacteriaceae. The record is from Rfam.
ACUCAACACGAUUCAAUUAUGAAGGAUGAGUCUUAACUACUAAAGCAAGCCAUCUAGAAUGGAUCCUUGAACAGUUAGUUAGUCCUAUAAGUAACCAUAUUUGGAGUUU